GCAACAGGAAAACCAAACAAAUAAAUAGAUUUAAUCACAUAAAACUCACAAUUUAACAUCUGUUGUUAUUUUUCUUCCAGUUGUGGUGAAGCAAAGUUUUCUUUGGGUUACUAAAAACAAAUAACAAAGAUAGAUAGAUGAUUUCUAUGAAGCAAUUUUGUAAUGUAAAAAAACAACAAAUCUGACAAAAAAAGAUGUAAAACCCCACAAAGAUAAUCUGCAUCUGAAAUCGACUUGAGGUGAUCAUCUGAAAUAGAAUUUAUGCCAUAAUCUGAAAUCAAUUUGAGUAAGAACACGAGAAUCGUCGGUCAGUGUUGUGAAAUCAAAAUGCACCAUUGAAACUCAAAACCAGAUUCAUUGAUGGCUUUGUAGGUGUGGGACAGAACUCAUUUCUGUUAUCGUUUCUUCCCCCUUAUUGUAUGCUCGUAUCCUUCUCAUUCUCACCAAGUCUCACCACCACCUCUGGUCGUAUCAGAUAUUCAGGAUAUUCAAGACUAUAGAUCAGCAAAAUCAAAGCGAUCCUUCAUAUAAACCAAGAUGAAAACGAAAUUGUUUUGAAAACCUGUAAAUUCUAAUGCGGACCAUGGAUCUGGGGUUGAAGUGGACGACAAUGGCGGCGACGUCUCUGGUGGUUAUUGAAUGACCCGAUCACGUUUCUAGAGGUUGAACAGAUAUUGGCGGUAGCACGGGGGGUUUGACAGUAACGGUGGCCGCUGGUGGCCGGCUGCCGGAAUAGGAGAGAGAAGAGAUAUCAACGAUGAAGAAAAGGGGGAAAAGGAUGCAUUUCUCAUGUGUAAUUUACCAGAGAAGAAAACGGUGAGGGUGCAGUGGGCUGAGAAAACCAAACACAAGACCCUAAUCCUAGAACCAAACAUCCCCCUGAUGUCAUAGAAGGGUAAAAUCGAAAAAGAGAGCAAUCAUGACAAUUUUUAUGUAAAUGUGCGGUUUUUGUAGACACAAAAAUGAACUUAGGACAUUAGGACAUAACCGAACAUUUUUU
Molecule: long non-coding RNA, 1000 nt
Filed under: Lactuca sativa (garden lettuce)
Lineage: Eukaryota; Viridiplantae; Streptophyta; Magnoliopsida; Asterales; Asteraceae
Description: long non-coding RNA (LSAT_LNC003390)
Source: RNAcentral